This 422-nucleotide ribosomal RNA is filed under the name uncultured archaeon. RNAcentral's name for it is "partial 16S ribosomal RNA". It matches the Rfam family "Archaeal small subunit ribosomal RNA", at positions 323 to 746 of the family's 1478-position model. The record is from RNAcentral.
CUACGGGACGCACCAGCUGCGAAUUUUUUACAAUGCACGAAAGUGUGAUAGAGCGAACCAAAGUGCUUACCUUUCGGUAAGCUUUUCUUCUGUGUAAAAAGCAGGAGGAAUAAGGACUGGGAAAGACCGGUGCCAGCCGCCGCGGUAAUACCGGCAGUUCAAGUGGCAUCCAACUUUAUUGGGUCUAAAACAUCCGUAGCUUGUUUGUUAAGUCUCUUGUGAAAUCUUAUGUCUCAAGCAUAGGGCUUGCAGGGGAUACUGGCAAACUGGAGAUCGGUAGACGUAAGGAGUACGAUCAAGGUAAUGGUUAAAUAUGUUAAUCUUGGUUGGACUAACGAUUAGCGAAGGCACCUUACGAGGACGAGUCUGACAGUGAGGGAUGAAGGCCAGGGGCGCAAAACGGAUUAGAUACCCCCGUAGUC